Molecule: long non-coding RNA, 590 nt
Organism: Hippocampus zosterae (dwarf seahorse)
Lineage: Eukaryota; Metazoa; Chordata; Actinopteri; Syngnathiformes; Syngnathidae
Exons: 2
Source: RefSeq, a predicted model, not a curated record
CUUCGUCCUCGUCCUGGAGGUGAUGCCGGUCGUCCGGGUGCCCGCGCGCUUCUCAGGCCGACUGUGGUGGUGGCGACACCCCCGCGGCUCUGCGCCUCGACGUACACGGCGGAGCUCCGAGCAUGGGCGGCGGGUUGAAAGCAGUAAAUGCUACAAGAGUCAGAUGUCUGCAGUGUGCCAUUUUGCACACAUAUGAGAUGGAUCACAGGCUCCGAUUUGCUUAUUUAAACGAUGCCCCCUUGCCAACCACAAAUAGAAAAGUCUAGCGCGUCCUUAGCAUUUCUGUGACGACUCUUUCUAUGAUUACUUCCCUGUUUUGAACGCGACGUGACGACGUCUCCAAGCAGAUGCGAGUUCUCCCCAAUGUCUUGACAGCGAGGAGUGAAAGUGGGUCAGAUGUGUGUUUUUUAUUUAAGCGAGAUCGCAAACCUCUGCCAAGAGCUUCCGUGGAGACGUCUGGUCUGUCUGACACGCUUCCUAGACAGGAGCCAGGGGAGUGAGUCCAGGAGACAGCAUGGGGGGACGUAAACAAUCUCCGUCAAUAUUUCUUCCAGUUCAAAUGUACUAACCUGGAUUUAAAAAAAAGAAAA